CGCUUUCUUUGGAGCGCGCCACGUGCAAACAAUGUACCGCCGACGUCGUUUCGAAAUUAUGCAACUGGCUGGCCUUCUCUUUCUACCGAAGUGCUUUUUAAAGAACAUCGAAAUAUGGGUCGAAGCAUGUUAUUUUGGUUAGGGAUCGACAAAACAACGGUACGAUUCCUGCUGGUACCUAGAACAAUCCCACAACCGGUCACCGGAGCAAAGGAUGUUCGAUCGUGGCCGCGCGGUCCAAUUCGUGGAACACAGAAGACACGUAUCGCGGCGAUCUAAAGACGAGGCAACGAUAUUACGGUACGUGGGCCGGCUUCCUAUGUACUGUCGGCCAUCACCAAAGCUCCCCCUAUAAAUUCAAGGAGGUUAAUGAAGCGGGCUGGAUUCAGUUUCAGAUUUUCCAAGACUCCGCUUGCCUUCGAUAUCGUUCCUCGAAUCGGUGCGAUCACCUCGGUGGAACAAACGGAUAUCUAAGCGAGUAUCGUGCAGCCUUCCCGGCAGGCAGGCGGCUUCUAGCUGCUAAUGAUCGCGGUGUACCGUAACGUGCUACACGAUUUCAACGAUAAACUACAGCGCACCCGGCAGCACCCGCGGCACCGCAAACCCGUUUUUCGAGCAAUAGACUUUUUCUACCCGAUACGCCUCCCCCUUCGUUCACUGGCACAACCCCCGCCGCAGCUUCGAUAAGGAGAUUUAACGAUAUAUGGAUCGCGCGAAAACGGCUUAGAAGGU
RNAcentral lists this unclassified non-coding RNA (732 nucleotides) under Bombus terrestris (buff-tailed bumblebee). RNAcentral describes it as "misc RNA ENSBTSG00005023946.1". Lineage: Eukaryota; Metazoa; Arthropoda; Insecta; Hymenoptera; Apidae. The record is from RNAcentral.